Molecule: ribosomal RNA, 498 nt
Filed under: uncultured bacterium
Lineage: Bacteria
Description: partial 16S ribosomal RNA
Rfam family: Bacterial small subunit ribosomal RNA
Source: RNAcentral
AUUGAACGCUGGCGGCAUGCCUUACACAUGCAAGUCGAACGGUAACAGGUCUUCGGAUGCUGACGAGUGGCGAACGGGUGAGUAAUACAUCGGAACGUGCCUAGUAGUGGGGGAUAACUACUCGAAAGAGUGGCUAAUACCGCAUGAGAUCUACGGAUGAAAGCAGGGGAUCGCAAGACCUUGUGCUACUAGAGCGGCCGAUGGCAGAUUAGGUAGUUGGUGGGAUAAAAGCUUACCAAGCCGACGAUCUGUAGCUGGUCUGAGAGGACGAUCAGCAACACUGGGACUGAGAAACGGCCCAGACUCCUACGGGAGGCAGCAGUGGGGAAUGUUGGACAAUGGGCGAAAGCCUGAUCCAGCAAUGCCGCGUGCAGGAUGAAGGCCUUCGGGUUGUAAACUGCUUUUGUACGGAACGAAAAGCCCCGGGUUAAUACCCUGGGGUCAUGACGGUACCGUAAGAAUAAGCACCGGCUAACUACGUGCCAGCCGCCGCUGUAA